This 3558-nucleotide ribosomal RNA is filed under the name Triticum aestivum (bread wheat). Its description in RNAcentral is "partial small subunit ribosomal RNA". The record is from RNAcentral. Lineage: Eukaryota; Viridiplantae; Streptophyta; Magnoliopsida; Poales; Poaceae.
AUGAUGACACAAACCCUGCAAGGGAUCCAGCAGCAGUAUGCACCAAGUGGCUUUACUGUCCAGAAACCUCGCACACAGACUGCAGCGCAAGUUCUUCAGCUGGAUAAUAUGGAUUCAGAUACUUCUCCAGUACGUCUCGUGAUCAAACAUAGAAUUGCAAACUACCUGCAAGGAAGGGGGGAUUUCUACAACUUGGACACACGUUAUCUUCUGGCAGUUUCAAAAAGUAUUGAUGAGCAGCUUUAUAAGGAUGCUGAAUCAAAGAUCCAAUACAUGGAUUUUGAAACUUUAGAAGUUAGGGUAAAUGCUCUUCUCAGUUGUGGAUCAUUUGGCAACAGUAUAUAUGCUUGGGCUUCUUCAGCAGCUUUACCGACAUCUUACCCAGGACAGCUUGGGAUAGAAGUACCAGAUUCAAGUAUACAGCAUGUGUUUUAUCCUCAGGGAUUUGCACCAACUAAUCAUCAUGAAGUUGCUGCCGACUUUGCUCAUUCUUCAGCUGAUAACAUUAAACGGAGUCCUGAAAGCUUAGCAAACACCACUGCUGCACCAUGUAUGUCAUCACUACCAAAAUACAGUUCCUGUCUUGCUGGAGAUUUCAGUGGUGGAGCGCCUACUGGCCAUACAGAAGACCAUUUCCCAGGUGAUGCUCAUCAAGUUGAUAGUCCACAACCAUCGACAUCUGGUAGUUCCAGUUCUGUGUCUGGAAUGUGUGACAGAACCGCAAAUUUUACAAAUAACAACAGAUAUUCCACUGGCCUAGUAUCAUCGUCUCUACAGUACAGAGAAUGCAAGGAAAUGUUAUAUACUUGGAGUCACCCAAUAGAGCAAUCAGAUCAGUCAAAUAUCACAGCUGGAGGCCAUGACUUGUACUCUGGUAAUUGUGUCACUGUAAGAGAGGUAGUGGGGAGAGCUGAACAGACAUCAAAUAGCACUGUAUCAAAGCCAAAUUCACCUGCUUCAGAUGAAUCUUCUGGCAAGCAUCAUCCGGCAAAACGAUUAAAGGUUAAUUACCCCUUUCCUGUCCAUGCCGAUGAAACAGAGUUUCCAAAGGAACAACAGCCUGCUGCCAAUGGGCCUCAUGCAUCUUCUGAAACAGUAAAGUCUGAAACCACAGUAUUAUCUAUGAAGUCGCCAUCUGGCUGUUCCUUGCAGGACAGCAAUGCUAGCAAUACCAUGGAGAAUUUUAGGUUGCAAGAGACUGCUGUGCAAGCUGACGAAGGGUUGUGUUAUGAAAAUGGUGACAUCGAGAUGAAGGACUCUAAGCUUAGCUCAGUGGAUCAAACAUCACUAGUAGCCAGCCUAACUACAAGGAAGAAAAGAGGGGGCUCAAUACUUUAUCCUUUAACUGCUGAGGAGCUUAGAGAUCACAUGAGAAGUCUGGGCCAGCAUAUUUUUCCGAACAAGGCGAUUACAGAAGAGGACCAGUCAGGCUUGCCUGACCAAAAUACAUGCAACUUAUGUGGGAUGGAGCGGCUUCUUUUUGAACCUCCUCCACGAUUCUGUGCUCUGUGUUUUAAAGUAAUAAAUUCGACGGGAUCCUAUUAUGUUCCUGUGGAAAAUGGAAGUGAUAAGACUUCAAUAUGUGCCAAAUGUCACCACCAUGUUAGUAAUGCAAAAGCUAAAUAUGAAAGGAGAUCCAAUUAUGCAGAAACAGAUGCCGAGUCUGAAUGGUGGGUUGCGUGUGAUAAAUGCAAAGCGUGGCAGCAUCAAAUAUGUGCCCUUUUUAACCCUAAGGUUAUGGAGGAGGGGGUGGAGUAUACAUGUGCGAAAUGUUUAUUGAAGGAGAAGGAUAGCGGAGAUAUAGAUUUGCUGGAGUCAUCUGCUGUUCUAGGAGCAUUAGAGUUACCAAGAACUAAACUGAGCAAUCAUAUCGAGCAGAGACUUUCAGUGCGGCUUGAGCAUGAGCGGCUGCAGAGGGCAAGGGCUUCAGGAAAAAGUGUUGAAGAGGUACCUGAAGUUGAAGGUCUUACUGUUAGAGUGGUUUCUUCUGCUGCAAGAGUACUUCAAGUCCUACCACGUUUUCGGGAUUUUUUUAAACAAGGAAACUACCCUGGUGAAUUUCCGUACAAAUCGAAGGCCAUUCUCUUGUUUCAAAAGAAUGAAGGCGUGGAUGUUUGUCUGUUUGCCAUGUAUGUACAAGAGUAUGGUUCUGCUAGCCCCUCACCAAAUCAAAGGCACGUUUAUCUUGCAUAUAUCGAUUCGGUCAAGUACUUCAGGCCUGAAAUCAAAUCUGCAAGUGGCGAAGCUCUCCGUACCUUUGUGUACCAUGAAAUUUUGAUUGGCUAUUUGGAUUACUGCAAGAAACAAGGGUUUGUAAGCUGCUCCAUAUGGGCUUGCCCAUCUACAAAGCGUGAUGAUUAUGUUUUGUAUUGUCAUCCCACGGCACAAAAAAUGCCGAGGUCUGACAAACUUCGGAGCUGGUACCAGAACUUGAUCAAGAAGGCUGUUAGGGAGGGUGUAGUUGUGGAGCGUAAUACGCUGUACGAUUUUUUUCUUCAGCCUACCAGUGAAUGCAAGGCCGUUACUUCUGCAGCAUGCUUGCCAUAUUGUGAGAAUGAUUUCUGGCCUGGGGAAGCAGAGAAACUCCUCGAGAAGAAAGACGACGACACCUCGCAGAAGAACGACAUACAAGCAGGAAGGGCCCUACGGGUUGCCAAACGUGAUGACAGGAAAGGGAACCCUGAGGAUAUCUUGUUAGUGCACAAACUUGGAGAAAAGAUGAGAACAAUGAAAGAAGACUUUAUUAUGCUUUGUCUGCAGCAGUUUUGCAAGCAUUGCCACCAACCUAUUUUAUCUGGUAAAAGUUGGAUGUGUACUUGCUGCAAAAACUUCCAUCUUUGUGACCAAUGCCAUGCAGAGGAGCUAAGUGCCCCACAAAAGAACAGGCAUCCAGCUGCAACAAAACAAAAGCAUGCCUUUCAAAGAAUAGAGGAAGAACCUCUCCCAGAGACUGAUGAUGGAGAUCCAACAAUGGAAAGCAAGUAUUUUGACAGCAGAACAGAUUUCUUGAAGCAUUGUCAAGACAAUCAGUACCAGUUUGAUACACUCCGACGGGCAAAACACUCAACAAUGAUGAUUCUUUAUAAUCUACAUGAUUCAGCUUGCUCUGCUUGUCACCGGGCAAUGGAUCAACGCUUUGCGUGGCGGUGCCUGGUUUGCGCGGGCUGCAAAUUUUGUGAUUCAUGCUAUAAACAAGACGGCGAAAAUUUGCACAUACAUAAACUCAAACAGGCGGACAAUCGGCAACUACUGCCAAACUACACUCUGCAGCAGGACUACCUUGAGAGCUUGGUGCAUGCAUCAAAAUGCUUCCACAAUCCGCAUAAUUGCAGUUUCAAACUGUGUGUUACAAUGAAGAAGUUGUUCUACCAUGGUGUACGAUGUGCUAUCCGGAACCAAGGAGGUUGCAGGAAUUGUGUCUUCAUGUGGGGACUUCUGCUCACUCACUCAAAACAGUGUGAUCACGGGGACUGCUCAGUUCCCAGAUGCAGGGAUCUAAAAGAAUUCAUGGGCAAGGCCAAAAUGGUUACUGCUGGACCCUGUGCCAUGGAAUGCUAG